UGGGGAAUUUUGGACAAUGGGCGAAAGCCUGAUCCAGCAAUGCCGCGUGUGUGAAGAAGGCCUUCGGGUUGUAAAGCACUUUUGUCCGGAAAGAAAUCCUUGGCUCUAAUACAGUCGGGGGAUGACGGUACCGGAAGAAUAAGCACCGGCUAACUACGUGCCAGCAGCCGCGGUAAUACGUAGGGUGCAAGCGUUAAUCGGAAUUACUGGGCGUAAAGCGUGCGCAGGCGGUUUGCUAAGACCGAUGUGAAAUCCCCGGGCUCAACCUGGGAACUGCAUUGGUGACUGGCAGGCUAGAGUAUGGCAGAGGGGGGUAGAUGUCCACGUGUAGCAGUGAAAUGCGUAGAGAUGUGGAGGAAUACCGAUGGCGAAGGCGAUC
This 379-nucleotide ribosomal RNA is filed under the name uncultured bacterium. Its description in RNAcentral is "partial 16S ribosomal RNA". It matches the Rfam family "Bacterial small subunit ribosomal RNA", at positions 355 to 726 of the family's 1533-position model. The record is from RNAcentral.